CCUACGGGAGGCAGCAGUGAGGAAUAUUGGUCAAUGGACGCAAGUCUGAACCAGCCAUGCCGCGUGCAGGAAGACUGCUCUAUGAGUUGUAAACUGCUUUUAUACGAGGAUAAACGCAGAUACGCGUAUCUUUCUGAAAGUAUCUUACGAAUAAGGAUCGGCUAACUCCGUGCCAGCAGCCGCGGUAAUACGGAGAAUUCAAGCGUUAUCCGGAUUUAUUGGGUUUAAAGGGUGCGUAGGCGGUCGGUUAAGUUAGAGGUGAAAUCCCGCGGCUCAACUUCGGAAUUGCAAUUGAUACUGUCCGGCUAGAGAGCAGUUGAGGUAGGCGGAAUGUAUGGUGUAGCGGUGAAAUGCUUAGAGAUCAUAAAGAACACCGAUUGCGAAGGCAGCUUACCAAGCUACUUCUGACGUUGAGGCACGAAAGCGUGGGGAGCAAACAGGAUUAGAUACCCCUGUAGUC
This 460-nucleotide ribosomal RNA is filed under the name uncultured bacterium. Its description in RNAcentral is "partial 16S ribosomal RNA". It matches the Rfam family "Bacterial small subunit ribosomal RNA", at positions 338 to 795 of the family's 1533-position model. The record is from RNAcentral.